CAGCCGCCACGGGAAUACGAAGGGUGCAAGCGUUAAUCGGAAUUACUGGGCGUAAAGCGUGCGUAGGCGGUUUGUUAAGUCUGCUGUGAAAUCCCCGGGCUCAACCUGGGAAUGGCAGUGGAUACUGGCAAGCUAGAGUGUGUUAGAGGAUGGUGGAAUUCCCGGUGUAGCGGUGAAAUGCGUAGAGAUCGGGAGGAACAUCAGUGGCGAAGGCGGCCAUCUGGGACAACACUGACGCUGAGGCACGAAAGCUAGGGGAGCGAACGGGAUUAGAUACCCCCGUAGUCCCUGUCUCUUAUAC
RNAcentral lists this ribosomal RNA (301 nucleotides) under uncultured bacterium. RNAcentral's name for it is "partial 16S ribosomal RNA". It matches the Rfam family "Bacterial small subunit ribosomal RNA", at positions 509 to 807 of the family's 1533-position model. The record is from RNAcentral.